This 303-nucleotide unclassified non-coding RNA is filed under the name plant metagenome. Its description in RNAcentral is "partial contains 5.8S ribosomal RNA, internal transcribed spacer 2, and large subunit ribosomal RNA". The stretch from base 1 to 105 matches the Rfam family "5.8S ribosomal RNA", at positions 50 to 154 of the family's 154-position model. The record is from RNAcentral.
GAAAUGCGAUAAGUAAUGUGAAUUGCAGAAUUCAGUGAAUCAUCGAAUCUUUGAAAGCACAUUGCGCCCGCCAGUAUUCUGGCGGGCAUGCCUGUUCGAGCGUCAUUUCAACCAUCAAGCCCCGCGCUUGUGUUGGGGACCUGCGGCUGCCGCAGGCCCUGAAAACCAGUGGCGGGCUCGCUGUCACACCGGGCGUAGUAGAUUUUAUCUCGCUCAGGGCGUGCUGCGGGUUCCGGCCGUUAAAAAGCCUUUUUUACCCAAGGUUGACCUCGGAUCAGGUAGGAAGACCCGCUGAACUUAAGC